Molecule: ribosomal RNA, 674 nt
Filed under: uncultured bacterium
Lineage: Bacteria
Description: partial 16S ribosomal RNA
Rfam family: Bacterial small subunit ribosomal RNA
Source: RNAcentral
GAAAGGACGGGUAAUACCGGAUACCCCGGGGUGCCGCAUGGCACCCCGGCUAAAGCCCCGACGGGAGGGGAUGGCUCCGCGGCCCAUCAGGUAGACGGCGGGGUGACGGCCCACCGUGCCGACAACGGGUAGCCGGGUUGAGAGACCGACCGGCCAGAUUGGGACUGAGACACGGCCCAGACUCCUACGGGAGGCAGCAGUGGGGAAUCUUGCGCAAUGGGGGGAACCCUGACGCAGCGACGCCGCGUGCGGGACGGAGGCCUUCGGGUCGUAAACCGCUUUCAGCAGGGAAGAGUCAAGACUGUACCUGCAGAAGAAGCCCCGGCUAACUACGUGCCAGCAGCCGCGGUAAUACGUAGGGGGCGAGCGUUAUCCGGAUUCAUUGAGCGUAAAGCGCGCGUAGGCGGCCCGGCAGGCCGGGGGUCGAAGCGGGGGGCUCAACCCCCCGAAGCCCCCGGAACCUCCGCGGCUUGGGUCCGGUAGGGGAGGGUGGAACACCCGGUGUAGCGGUGGAAUGCGCAGAUAUCGGGUGGAACACCGGUGGCGAAGGCGGCCCUCUGGGCCGAGACCGACGCUGAGGCGCGAAAGCUGGGGGAGCGAACAGGAUUAGAUACCCUGGUAGUCCCAGCCGUAAACGAUGGACGCUAGGUGUGGGGGGACGAUCCCCCCGUGCC